RNAcentral lists this signal recognition particle RNA (98 nucleotides) under Desulfobacteraceae bacterium. Its description in RNAcentral is "signal recognition particle sRNA small type". It matches the Rfam family "Bacterial small signal recognition particle RNA". From Rfam's summary of the family: The signal recognition particle (SRP) is a universally conserved ribonucleoprotein involved in the co-translational targeting of proteins to membranes. Archaeal SRP consists of a 7S RNA and homologues of the eukaryotic SRP19 and SRP54 proteins. The record is from RNAcentral. Lineage: Bacteria; Pseudomonadati; Thermodesulfobacteriota; Desulfobacteria; Desulfobacterales; Desulfobacteraceae.
AGGUGGACCUCGCGUGACAGUCUCCCAUGAACCCCGCCAGGUCCGGAAGGAAGCAACGGUAAGUGGAUCGGGCUGUGUCGUGAGUAAUUCUACUCUGC